UAUCUUUGUAACUGUUUUGGUGAUGUAAACAGACACUCGUCUUUUACAUGAAAAGGGAAUCCGGUCAGAAUCCGGAACAGUGCCCGCUACUGUGGUCUCUAUUCAGUUAACAAUGUUUCUGAAAAAAGUCUUUGAGCAAUACCAAAUACCACUGUUUCACAGUAAUCAGUGAUACAGUAAUCAGUUAACAGUUUUUUUUGACUGUUUACUGAUAACUGCUAACUGUUUACUGAAAAUGGGAAGGCCGUUCAAAGAUGGAGCAAGUCAGGAAACCUGCCGGACAAAAUAUUCAGUUU
This 296-nucleotide non-coding RNA is filed under the name uncultured Dysgonomonas sp. The record is from RNAcentral. Lineage: Bacteria; Pseudomonadati; Bacteroidota; Bacteroidia; Bacteroidales; Dysgonomonadaceae.